CUACGGGCGGCAGCAGUGGGGAAUCUUAGACAAUGGGCGCAAGCCUGAUCUAGCCAUGCCGCGUGAGUGACGAAGGCCUUAGGGUCGUAAAGCUCUUUCGCUGGGGAAGAUAAUGACGGUACCCAGUAAAGAAACCCCGGCUAACUCCGUGCCAGCAGCCGCGGUAAUACGGAGGGGGUUAGCGUUGUUCGGAAUUACUGGGCGUAAAGCGCGCGUAGGCGGAUCAGAAAGUUGGGGGUGAAAUCCCGGGGCUCAACCCCGGAACUGCCUUCAAAACUCCUGGUCUUGAGUUCGAGAGAGGUGAGUGGAAUUCCGAGUGUAGAGGUGAAAUUCGUAGAUAUUCGGAGGAACACCAGUGGCGAAGGCGGCUCACGGGCUCGAUACUGACGCUGAGGUGCGAAAGCGUGGGGAGCAAACAGGAUUAGAUACCCCCGUAGUC
RNAcentral lists this ribosomal RNA (439 nucleotides) under uncultured bacterium. RNAcentral's name for it is "partial 16S ribosomal RNA". It matches the Rfam family "Bacterial small subunit ribosomal RNA", at positions 339 to 795 of the family's 1533-position model. The record is from RNAcentral.